RNAcentral lists this ribosomal RNA (521 nucleotides) under uncultured bacterium. Its description in RNAcentral is "bacterial SSU rRNA". It matches the Rfam family "Archaeal small subunit ribosomal RNA", at positions 345 to 866 of the family's 1478-position model. The record is from RNAcentral.
AACCUCCGCAAUGUGAGAAAUCGCGACGGGGGGAUCCCAAGUGCCAUUCUUAACGGGAUGGCUUUUCAUUAGUGUAAAGAGCUUUUGGAAUAAGAGCUGGGCAAGACCGGUGCCAGCCGCCGCGGUAACACCGGCAGCUCUAGUGGUAGCAAUUUUUAUUGGGCCUAAAGCGUCCGUAGCCGGUUUAAUAAGUCUCUGGUGAAAUCCUGUAGCUUAACUGUGGGAAUUGCUGGAGAUACUAUUAGACUUGAGACCGGGAGAGGUUAGAGGUACUCCCAGGGUAGAGGUGAAAUUCUGUAAUCCUGGGAGGACCGCCUGUUGCGAAGGCGUCUAACUGGAACGGUUCUGACGGUGAGGGACGAAAGUUAGGGGCGCGAACCGGAUUAGAUACCCGGGCAGUCCUAACUGUAAACGAUGCGGACUUGGUGUUGGGGUGGCUUUGAGCUGCUCCAGUGCCGAAGGGAAGCUGUUAAGUCCGCCGCCUGGGAAGUACGGUCGCAAGACUGAAACUUAAAGGAAAU